Gymnodraco acuticeps is the source of this 824-nucleotide long non-coding RNA. RefSeq lists it as uncharacterized. The transcript has 3 exons. NCBI's taxonomy places the organism in Eukaryota, Metazoa, Chordata, Actinopteri, Perciformes, Bathydraconidae. The record is from RefSeq and is a predicted model, not a curated record.
UAAAGGUUUCCUUUAGGUGAUCCAGACAGGCUGGACCAGUGGGUGCUGAACAUCCGGAGGAAUAAAUGGACCCCCAACGUUUCUUCUCGCCUGUGCAGUGAACACUUUGAGAGUCAUCACUUCAGCACGGACUCAUGGGGAAGGAGAUGCCUGAAAAACACUGCAGUGCCCACCAUUUUCUAUCUCACCAAUGGCAAAGAACAACAGCCUAGAAGGAAAAGCAGGGUGAGGAACAAUGACAAGGACGCUUGAGGGAAGUUGCAACGCCUCGGCCAAUGUGAUGUCUUCUCCACGUGAAAGAGAUUGAAGGCAUAACUUAUAACUUGAGACAAUUUUCCAAAAGUUAUGACUUUUAUUUGCUUAGGUAGUAAUGGAUUACAUCUAACACGAAUCAAGAUCGUAUAGAAAAAAAGGAAAGUGUAAUCCUUAGUGACAUAGGAAAAGAUGUAAUCGGAUUAGUUUUACUUUUUUUAAUAAUAGGGAAACUCAGGAUUACAAUCUUAUUCAAAACCUAAAAAGAGCAUAUAGUGUUUGUUUUAAAAUGAUCAUAUUGUAUCUCUUCUCUGGAAGCGGUACUGUUCUGUAGGAUAAUACUUUAAUUGUGAAUAUAUACACCUACUGCCUGAAUCUGCUUUAUGGUAUUAUAUUAUACAUUUAAGUAAAACAAAUCAUAUUAAUAUUUCUUCUCUCCUGUGUUUAUUUGCAUUGCAUUUGAUAUUGAGGUAAUCCAAAAGACAAAUAAAGUUAUCAGGUUACAUUACUUUUAUAUCUUGAUACUCACAUUAAGUUACUGGUUGCGUUUUUGGCAAGUAGCCCUCCCAACC